CACGCCGUAAACGGUGGGAACUAGGUGUUGGCGACAUUCCACGUCGUCGGUGCCGCAGCUAACGCAUUAAGUUCCCCGCCUGGGGAGUACGGCCGCAAGGCUAAAACUCAAAGGAAUUGACGGGGGCCCGCACAAGCAGCGGAGCAUGUGGCUUAAUUCGACGCAACGCGAAGAACCUUACCAAGGCUUGACAUACACCGGAAACGGCCAGAGAUGGUCGCCCCCUUGUGGUCGGUGUACAGGUGGUGCAUGGCUGUCGCCAGCUCGUGUCGUGAGAUGUUGGGUUAAGUCCCGCAACGAGCGCAACCCUUGUCCCGUGUUGCCAGCAUGCCCUUCGGGGUGAUGGGGACUCACGGGAGACCGCCGGGGUCAACUCGGAGGAAGGUGGGGACGACGUCAAGUCAUCAUGCCCCUUAUGUCUUGGGCUGCACACGUGCUACAAUGGCCGGUACAAUGAGCUGCGAUACCGUGAGGUGGAGCGAAUCUCAAAAAGCCGGUCUCAGUUCGGAUUGGGGUCUGCAACUCGACCCCAUGAAGUCGGAGUUGCUAGUAAUCGCAGAUCAGCAGUGCUGCGGUGAAUACGUUCCCGGGCCUUGCACUCACCGCCGUCGGACCAGUCG
This 620-nucleotide ribosomal RNA is filed under the name uncultured bacterium. RNAcentral describes it as "bacterial SSU rRNA". It matches the Rfam family "Bacterial small subunit ribosomal RNA", at positions 796 to 1408 of the family's 1533-position model. The record is from RNAcentral.